This 20-nucleotide small nuclear RNA is filed under the name Arabidopsis thaliana (thale cress). Its description in RNAcentral is "snRNA_06755". The record is from RNAcentral. Lineage: Eukaryota; Viridiplantae; Streptophyta; Magnoliopsida; Brassicales; Brassicaceae.
CCGGAAGCCGGGUUACGGUG